RNAcentral lists this ribosomal RNA (1618 nucleotides) under Salmonella enterica subsp. enterica serovar Worthington. Its description in RNAcentral is "bacterial LSU rRNA". It matches the Rfam family "Bacterial large subunit ribosomal RNA", at positions 1223 to 2823 of the family's 2925-position model. Lineage: Bacteria; Pseudomonadati; Pseudomonadota; Gammaproteobacteria; Enterobacterales; Enterobacteriaceae. The record is from RNAcentral.
GUUGGGUAGGGGAGCGUUCUGUAAGCCUGUGAAGGUGUGUCGUGAGGCAUGCUGGAGGUAUCAGAAGUGCGAAUGCUGACAUAAGUAACGAUAAAGCGGGUGAAAAGCCCGCUCGCCGGAAGACCAAGGGUUCCUGUCCAACGUUAAUCGGGGCAGGGUGAGUCGACCCCUAAGGCGAGGCCGAAAGGCGUAGUCGAUGGGAAACGGGUUAAUAUUCCCGUACUUGGUGUUACUGCGAAGGGGGGACGGAGAAGGCUAUGUUGGCCGGGCGACGGUUGUCCCGGUUUAAGCGUGUAGGUGUGUGUUCCAGGUAAAUCCGGUUCACUUUAACACUGAGGCGUGAUGACGAGGCACUACGGUGCUGAAGCAACAAAUGCCCUGCUUCCAGGAAAAGCCUCUAAGCAUCAGGUAACAUCAAAUCGUACCCCAAACCGACACAGGUGGUCAGGUAGAGAAUACCAAGGCGCUUGAGAGAACUCGGGUGAAGGAACUAGGCAAAAUGGUGCCGUAACUUCGGGAGAAGGCACGCUGACACGUAGGUGAAGUGAUUUACUCAUGGAGCUGAAGUCAGUCGAAGAUACCAGCUGGCUGCAACUGUUUAUUAAAAACACAGCACUGUGCAAACACGAAAGUGGACGUAUACGGUGUGACGCCUGCCCGGUGCCGGAAGGUUAAUUGAUGGGGUCAGCGCAAGCGAAGCUCCUGAUCGAAGCCCCGGUAAACGGCGGCCGUAACUAUAACGGUCCUAAGGUAGCGAAAUUCCUUGUCGGGUAAGUUCCGACCUGCACGAAUGGCGUAAUGAUGGCCAGGCUGUCUCCACCCGAGACUCAGUGAAAUUGAACUCGCUGUGAAGAUGCAGUGUACCCGCGGCAAGACGGAAAGACCCCGUGAACCUUUACUAUAGCUUGACACUGAACAUUGAGCCUUGAUGUGUAGGAUAGGUGGGAGGCUUUGAAGUGUGGACGCCAGUCUGCAUGGAGCCGACCUUGAAAUACCACCCUUUAAUGUUUGAUGUUCUAACGUGGACCCGUAAUCCGGGUUGCGGACAGUGUCUGGUGGGUAGUUUGACUGGGGCGGUCUCCUCCUAAAGAGUAACGGAGGAGCACGAAGGUUGGCUAAUCCUGGUCGGACAUCAGGAGGUUAGUGCAAUGGCAUAAGCCAGCUUGACUGCGAGCGUGACGGCGCGAGCAGGUGCGAAAGCAGGUCAUAGUGAUCCGGUGGUUCUGAAUGGAAGGGCCAUCGCUCAACGGAUAAAAGGUACUCCGGGGAUAACAGGCUGAUACCGCCCAAGAGUUCAUAUCGACGGCGGUGUUUGGCACCUCGAUGUCGGCUCAUCACAUCCUGGGGCUGAAGUAGGUCCCAAGGGUAUGGCUGUUCGCCAUUUAAAGUGGUACGCGAGCUGGGUUUAGAACGUCGUGAGACAGUUCGGUCCCUAUCUGCCGUGGGCGCUGGAGAACUGAGGGGGGCUGCUCCUAGUACGAGAGGACCGGAGUGGACGCAUCACUGGUGUUCGGGUUGUCAUGCCAAUGGCACUGCCCGGUAGCUAAAUGCGGAAGAGAUAAGUGCUGAAAGCAUCUAAGCACGAAACUUGCCCCGAGAUGAGUUCUCCCUGAGACUU